UAGGGAAUCUUCGGCAAUGGACGAAAGUCUGACCGAGCAACGCCGCGUGAGUGAAGAAGGUUUUCGGAUCGUAAAACUCUGUUGUUAGAGAAGAACAAGGACGUUAGUAACUGAACGUCCCCUGACGGUAUCUAACCAGAAAGCCACGGCUAACUACGUGCCAGCAGCCGCGGUAAUACGUAGGUGGCAAGCGUUGUCCGGAUUUAUUGGGCGUAAAGCGAGCGCAGGCGGUUUCUUAAGUCUGAUGUGAAAGCCCCCGGCUCAACCGGGGAGGGUCAUUGGAAACUGGGAGACUUGAGUGCAGAAGAGGAGAGUGGAAUUCCAUGUGUAGCGGUGAAAUGCGUAGAUAUAUGGAGGAACACCAGUGGCGAAGGCGGCUUUCUGGUCUGUAACUGACGCUGAGGCUCGAAAGCGUGGGGAGCAAACAGG
This 429-nucleotide ribosomal RNA is filed under the name Gemmatimonadota bacterium. Its description in RNAcentral is "Gemmatimonadetes bacterium partial 16S ribosomal RNA". It matches the Rfam family "Bacterial small subunit ribosomal RNA", at positions 355 to 776 of the family's 1533-position model. The record is from RNAcentral. Lineage: Bacteria; Pseudomonadati; Gemmatimonadota.